RNAcentral lists this ribosomal RNA (498 nucleotides) under uncultured bacterium. RNAcentral's name for it is "partial 16S ribosomal RNA". It matches the Rfam family "Bacterial small subunit ribosomal RNA", at positions 29 to 523 of the family's 1533-position model. The record is from RNAcentral.
AUUGAACGCUGGCGGCAUGCCUUACACAUGCAAGUCGAACGGUGACAGGUCUUCGGAUGCUGACGAGUGGCGAACGGGUGAGUAAUACAUCGGAACGUGCCCGAUCGUGGGGGAUAACGCAGCGAAAGCUGUGCUAAUACCGCAUACGAUCUACGGAUGAAAGCGGGGGAUCGCAAGACCUCGCGCGGACGGAGCGGCCGAUGGCAGGUUAGGUAGUUGGUGGGGUAAAGGCUCACCAAGCCUGCGAUCUGUAGCUGGUCUGAGAGGAGGACCAGCCACACGGGGACUGGGACACGGCCCAGACUGCUACGGGAGGCAGCAGUGGGGAAGUUUGGACAAUGGGCGAAAGCCUGAUCCAGCCAUGCCGCGUGCAGGAUGAAGGCCUUCGGGUUGUAAACUGCUUUUGUACGGAACGAAAAGUCUCCUUCUAAUAAAGGGGGAUCAUGACGGUACCGUAAGAAUAAGCACCGGCUAACUACGUGCCAGCCGCCGCGGUAA